AUGGAUUUUAGUUACACUUUAAAAAUUGAAAGAUGAAUGUACCUUAGACCAAACCUAUUCUAGUAUCUCAUUCUUAGCACUCUUUUCCAGAAAACUUUACAUGUAAAUAUUUCCAUUCGUAUGAUAAGACAAAAAUUCUAUUUCACUAUUAAAAUUUCCUGAGCUAUUAUUCCUAGUCCUAGUUGCUCAUUCUUAACUAUUUAAUGGCAACUCAACACCAGGACAGAAAAACAGAAAAUUGCAAGUUUUUUAUG
This 254-nucleotide unclassified non-coding RNA is filed under the name Hevea brasiliensis (rubber tree). Lineage: Eukaryota; Viridiplantae; Streptophyta; Magnoliopsida; Malpighiales; Euphorbiaceae. The record is from RNAcentral.